This 446-nucleotide ribosomal RNA is filed under the name uncultured bacterium. RNAcentral describes it as "partial 16S ribosomal RNA". It matches the Rfam family "Bacterial small subunit ribosomal RNA", at positions 338 to 795 of the family's 1533-position model. The record is from RNAcentral.
CCUACGGGUGGCAGCAGUCGAGAAUCAUUCACAAUGGGGGAAACCCUGAUGGUGCGACGCCGCGUGAGGGAAUGAAGGUCUUGGGAUUGUAAACCCCUGUCAUGUGGGAGCAAAUGAAAAAGAUAGUACCACAAGAGGAAGAGACGGCUAACUCUGUGCCAGCAGCCGCGGUAAUACGGCGGUCGCAAGCGUUGUUCGGAAUGACUGGGCGUAAAGCGUGCGUAGGCUGUAGCGUAAGUCGGGUGUGAAAGGCGCGGGCUCAACCCGGGAACGGCACAUGAUACUGUGCAACUAGAGUAAUGGAGAGGUAAGCGGAAUUCUCGGUGUAGCAGUGAAAUGCGUAGAUAUCAGGAGGAACACUAGUGGCGAAGGCGGGUUCCUGGACAUUAACUGACGUUGAGGCACGAAGGCCAGGGGAGCGAAAGGGAUUAGAUACCCCUGUAGUC